GAUGAACGCUGGCGGCGUGCCUAAUACAUGCAAGUAGAACGCUGAAGGAAGGAGCUUGCUCUUUCCGGAUGAGUUGCGAACGGGUGAGUAACGCGUAGGUAACCUGCCUGGUAGCGGGGGAUAACUAUUGGAAACGAUAGCUAAUACCGCAUAACAGUAGAUGUUGCAUGACAUCUACUUGAAAGGGGCAAUUGCUCCACUACCAGAUGGACCUGCGUUGUAUUAGCUAGUUGGUGAGGUAACGGCUCACCAAGGCGACGAUACAUAGCCGACCUGAGAGGGUGAUCGGCCACACUGGGACUGAGACACGGCCCAGACUCCUACGGGAGGCAGCAGUAGGGAAUCUUCGGCAAUGGACGGAAGUCUGACCGAGCAACGCCGCGUGAGUGAAGAAGGUUUUCGGAUCGUAAAGCUCUGUUGUAAGAGAAGAACGAGUGUGAGAGUGGAAAGUUCACACUGUGACGGUAUCUACCAGAAA
RNAcentral lists this ribosomal RNA (478 nucleotides) under Streptococcus australis. RNAcentral's name for it is "bacterial SSU rRNA". It matches the Rfam family "Bacterial small subunit ribosomal RNA", at positions 28 to 489 of the family's 1533-position model. The record is from RNAcentral. Lineage: Bacteria; Bacillati; Bacillota; Bacilli; Lactobacillales; Streptococcaceae.